Molecule: small nuclear RNA, 263 nt
Filed under: Oryctolagus cuniculus (rabbit)
Lineage: Eukaryota; Metazoa; Chordata; Mammalia; Lagomorpha; Leporidae
Description: 7SK RNA
Rfam family: 7SK RNA
About the family: 7SK was discovered as an abundant small nuclear RNA in the mid-70s but a possible function has only recently been suggested. Two independent studies have found that 7SK RNA binds the CDK9/cyclin T complex (known as elongation factor P-TEFb).
Source: Rfam by way of RNAcentral
GGAUAUGAGGGCGAUCUGGCUGCGACAUCUGUCACCCCAUUGAUCACCAGGGUUGAUUUGACUGAUCUAGGCGGGUGUCCCCUUCCUCCCUCACCGCUCCAUGUGCAUCCCUCCCGAAGCUGCAGGCUCGGUUGAAGAGGACGACCUUCCCUGCUAGAGGAGGACCAUAGAACCUCCAAACAAGCUCUCAAAGGAUGCUUCUAAUAAAAUUGCAAACACAGAAUUACAAACUUCCAGGUAUAUUGUUCUACCCACUGUUCACU